This 686-nucleotide long non-coding RNA is filed under the name Medicago truncatula (barrel medic). RNAcentral's name for it is "lncRNA gene32155". The record is from RNAcentral. Lineage: Eukaryota; Viridiplantae; Streptophyta; Magnoliopsida; Fabales; Fabaceae.
CAAAAGAAAUACCAUGAAGUAGUAGGAUCAACUCUCCUCAAUGUUGUUCCUACCACAUGAAUUUCAACAGUAAUAUGAAGAAGUUGAUAGACUGUUAGUAGGAUUCAAUUUACAUAAUGAUCUUAAUGUAAUUAACUUAUAUAACAAACUUCUAACUAAUCACAACUAACUUCUACUUCCUUAACAAGUAUUAAGCUUAUUCUAAUUAAUAUGUAGCUAUAUCUUACACAAAAAGGCAAGCAACCUGUCAUCUCUUUUAUCCAAAACCAAUUUGACAUCACAAAUACGAAGCUUGAACAUAGGUUCAAGCUUCAAAUAACUGUCGUUGCAUUCACCGUCAAACUAGUUCUUGAGACGAGUCUUCGAUCACAUGUCAGAAUCAAGAAACCAUACGGUGAUCGCUCAAAGUGCACUUUGGCAAAAUGUGGGUCAGAAAUCACUGUGUUCCAUGUUCUACAAACACAUUUACAUAUGAUAACAGACUUGAUGGGAAGUCGAAGUAGAAUGUCGGUGGCGAUUGGAAAUGGAAGAUCAGCAAAAGAAGGGCUAAGUUCUUGAAUUUCUACUUCAUCAACUUUUUCUUUCCCUGUUUUGGCUUUUUUUUUAGCCCUGGGAGAAGGGAUUAAGCCACUUUUCCUUUCCAUAGCCACACACUGAGCUCAGUGAUGAAGUUUGGCGGCAGUGAG